Molecule: ribosomal RNA, 1074 nt
Filed under: Triticum aestivum (bread wheat)
Lineage: Eukaryota; Viridiplantae; Streptophyta; Magnoliopsida; Poales; Poaceae
Description: partial small subunit ribosomal RNA
Source: RNAcentral
AUGCACUUGCUGGACAAUUCCAUCUCCUCUUGGGCAGAUUUAUGCCAUCAGUUUGUCGGUGCCUUUACAGGCGGCCACAAGCCACAUGGCCAAGAGAGCGAUCUUCACCUGCUCGCCCAGAAGGAAGGAGAGCCACUGCGCAAGUACAUUCAGAGAUUCAGCCGUGUACAGCACAACAUCCCAGAUGUCCACCCCGCCGCGAUCAUCAGCGCGUUCCAUCAGAACGUGCGAAACCGAAGGAUGAGGGAGGAGAUGGCGAUGUGUAAGAUCAAAGACGUUAGUGAGCUUUACGCCCUGGCCGACAAGUGUGCACGCGCUGAAGAGGGGAGGAGGCUCCCCAGAGAGAGUACAGGAGCAGGAGGAUCUGACAGUGAGGAUGCCGCCCCGACAAGGAAAGGCCGGCGGCGGAACAACAGAAGGAAAAAGGGCAAGGAAGUGCUAGCUGUCGAGCAGACCGGCAACGGAGGUGGCACCAAGGAAGCUAAAGCUGGUGGCUCCGACAAGGAGGCCCAGCCUGUGGCGGCCGCUGACAAGCAGGACAGCUCCGGCAAGCAGUAUUGUAAGAUUCACCGCACCAAGGGUCACGAUCUCCAGAACCGCAAGAAAGUCAAACAGCUUGUUGAGCAACAGAAAGCUGAGUACGAGCGGCGCGACAAGGAGAAGGCCCAGGAAGGUGCUGGUGGAUCCGGCAAGAAACGUCCCGGCCGAGGAGGACGCUGCGGCAAGGCCAAGCAGUGGCAAGGAGACAGACCUCACCGCGGCCGCGACAAGGAUGAAGACGACGACGAUGACGAAGACGUGGAUGAUGACGAGGCCGACGAGCAGGAAUUUCAGAAAGCUACAGAGGUCCUGUGCGUUGACAGUGGUGCUUCUCUGCAUACUUCGCACCGCCAACUCAAGCAGUGGAUGUGGGAGGUUAAUGCAGCGGAACCAUCCGUAGAGUCACGCAAGCCUCUGAAAUGGUCCAGCACGCCUAUCAUCUUCGACAUUGAGGAUCACCCUGAUCGCAUAACCGUGGUCUGGUGCUUGCCGAUGUUGUUUUCACCAACUAUCCGCAACCUCAAGGUCACGUAG